GACGAACGCUGGCGGCGUGCUUAACACAUGCAAGUCGAACGGUGAAGCUCCAGCUUGCUGGAGUGGAUCAGUGGCGAACGGGUGAGUAACACGUGAGCAACCUGCCCCUGACUCUGGAAUAAGCGCUGGAAACGGCGUCUAAUACUGGAUACGAGAAGGGUCCGCAUGGGCACUUUCUGGAAAGUUUUUCGGUUGGAGAUGGGCUCGCGGCCUAUCAGCUUGUUGGUGAGGUAAUGGCUCACCAAGGCGACGACGGGUAGCCGGCCUGAGAGGGCGACCGGCCACACUGGGACUGAGACACGGCCCAGACUCCUACGGGAGGCAGCAGUGGGGAAUAUUGCACAAUGGGCGAAAGCCUGAUGUAGCGACGCCGCGUGAGGGAUGACGGCCUUCGGGUUGUAAACCUCUUUCAGCAGGGAAGAAGCGAAAGUGACGGUACCUGCAGAAGAAGCACCGGCUAACUACGUG
RNAcentral lists this ribosomal RNA (468 nucleotides) under uncultured bacterium. RNAcentral's name for it is "partial 16S ribosomal RNA". It matches the Rfam family "Bacterial small subunit ribosomal RNA", at positions 28 to 507 of the family's 1533-position model. The record is from RNAcentral.